UCAAUACCGAAUCCACUGAUGUCCCUGAGGUAUCUCCUGCACCCAACACUUCAAAAGAUAGAAUUGGAACGAGCCAUCGGAUCGAGGAUUACAGCAACUCCAGUGAUGACGUUCCUGUUGAUGUCCGUAUAGGCAUUUCAGACUCAGAGAUUAUGGAAGAGACAGUCAUCGCAACCCUAAACCCUAAACCCUAAACCCUAAACCCUAAACCCUAAACCCUAAACCCUAAACCCUAAACCCUAAACCCUAAACCCUAAACCCUAAACCCUAAACCCUAAACCCUAAACCCUAAACCCUAAACCCUAAACCCUAAACCCU
This 318-nucleotide long non-coding RNA is filed under the name Citrus sinensis (sweet orange). RNAcentral's name for it is "long non-coding RNA (CSIN_LNC003282)". Lineage: Eukaryota; Viridiplantae; Streptophyta; Magnoliopsida; Sapindales; Rutaceae. The record is from RNAcentral.